This 111-nucleotide ribosomal RNA is filed under the name uncultured bacterium. RNAcentral's name for it is "partial 16S ribosomal RNA". It matches the Rfam family "Bacterial small subunit ribosomal RNA", at positions 1373 to 1482 of the family's 1533-position model. The record is from RNAcentral.
CCUGAGCCUUGUACACACCGCCCGUCAAGUCAUGGGAGCUGGUAGUACCCGAAGUCCCCUUAGCCAACCGUAAGGAGGCGGGGGCCGAUGGUAAGACCGGUGACUGGGACU